AGUAACGGCGAGUGAAGCGGCAACAGCUCAAAUUUGAAAUCUGGCCCCUAGGGUCCGAGUUGUAAUUUGCAGAGGAUGCUUUUGGCGAGGUGCCUUCCGAGUUCCCUGGAACGGGACGCCAUAGAGGGUGAGAGCCCCGUCUGGUCGGACACCAAGCCUCUGUAAAGCUCCUUCGACGAGUCGAGUAGUUUGGGAAUGCUGCUCUAAAUGGGAGGUAUAUGUCUUCUAAAGCUAAAUAUAGGCCAGAGACCGAUAGCGCACAAGUAGAGUGAUCGAAAGAUGAAAAGCACUUUGAAAAGAGGGUUAAAAAGUACGUGAAAUUGUUGAAAGGGAAGCGCCUAUGACCAGACUUGGGCCCGGUGAAUCAUCCAGCGUUCUCGCUGGUGCACUUUGCCGGGCACAGGCCAGCAUCAGUUUGGCUCGGGGGAAAAAGGCUUUGGGAACGUAGCUCCUCGGAGUGUUAUAGCCCUUUGCAUAAUACCCUGGGCCGGACUGAGGACCGCGCAUCUGCAAGGAUGCUGGCGUAAUGGUCAUCAGCGACCCGUCUUGAAACACGGACCAAGGAGUCGUCUUCGUAUGCGAGUGUUCGGGUGUAAAACCCCUACGCGUAAUGAAAGUGAACGCAGGUGAGAGCUUCGGCGCAUCAUCGACCGAUCCUGAUGUUCU
This 666-nucleotide ribosomal RNA is filed under the name Leptobacillium leptobactrum var. leptobactrum. RNAcentral describes it as "LSU rRNA". It matches the Rfam family "Eukaryotic large subunit ribosomal RNA", at positions 82 to 780 of the family's 3401-position model. The record is from RNAcentral. Lineage: Eukaryota; Fungi; Ascomycota; Sordariomycetes; Hypocreales; Cordycipitaceae.